UAGUAACUGCGAGUGAAGCGGGAAGAGCUCAAAUUUUGAAUCUGGCGGUCUUCGGCCGUCCGAGUUGUAAUCUAGAGAAGCGUYUUCCGCGCUGGCCCGUGUACAAGUCUCCUGGAAAGGAGCAUCAUAGAGGGUGAGAAUCCCGUCUUUGACACGGACUACCAGUGCUAUGUGAUGCGCUCUCGACGAGUCGAGUUGUUUGGGAAUGCAGCUCAAAACGGGUGGUAAAUUCCAUCUAAAGCUAAAUACAGGCGAGAGACCGAUAGCGAACAAGUACCGUGAGGGAAAGAUGAAAAGAACUUUGGAAAGAGAGUUAAACCGUACGUGAAAUUGCUGAAAGGGAAACGCUUGAUGUCAGUCGCGUCGGCCGGGGAUCAACCUUGCUUCUCGCUGGGUGUAUUUCCUGGUCGACGGGUCAGCAUCAGUUUCGGUCGCCGUACAAGG
RNAcentral lists this ribosomal RNA (444 nucleotides) under Xerocomellus perezmorenoi. RNAcentral describes it as "Xerocomellus perezmorenoii partial large subunit ribosomal RNA". Lineage: Eukaryota; Fungi; Basidiomycota; Agaricomycetes; Boletales; Boletaceae. The record is from RNAcentral.